UGAGGAAUAUUGGUCAAUGGGCGAGAGCCUGAACCAGCCAAGUCGCGUGAAGGAAGAAGGUUCUAUGGAUUGUAAACUUCUUUUGUAAGGGAAUAAAAAGAGUUACGUGUAACUUAUUGUAUGUACUUUACGAAUAAGGAUCGGCUAACUCCGUGCCAGCAGCCGCGGUAAUACGGAGGAUCCAAGCGUUAUCCGGAUUUAUUGGGUUUAAAGGGUGCGUAGGCGGACCCGUUAGUCAGUGGUGAAAGUU
Molecule: ribosomal RNA, 250 nt
Filed under: uncultured bacterium
Lineage: Bacteria
Description: partial 16S ribosomal RNA
Rfam family: Bacterial small subunit ribosomal RNA
Source: RNAcentral